CGGGAAUACAAGAGGAGAGCGCUCGACAGCUUCGUAAAAUCCGGUUUGUGAGAGUCGCGGCCAUAUUUGAAGAUGGCAGGAAAGUAAAGUAGUUUCUGCUAUUUAGUAUGCCAUGCUGACAGAAGAAGCAUUAGUGGUGUUGGACAACCUGUACUCUUUGCGAGUUCUUGAUAUCUCAGCAUUUGACUCCAGAAGCUAUACUAGCUUUUAAAAAGAUUACAUGCAACAGAGUUUUUUUAAUACUCAAAAAGCCAAGUGAGAAUGCAAAAUACUGCUGCUGGUGAUGGAGAUAUUUUCCCUAAAAGUUGGGAUUCCUUGUCUAUCAUCUUUACAUACAACUUCAGAUUGCUGACAAACUGUGCUUAUGAAACUAUUUAUAAAGAAUUUGAAUCUGGUUUUAUUUAUUUUGUAAUCUUAUGCAAUAGCCAAAAUCAUCAGGACAAAGACCUGGAUUUAUUAUAAUUUUUAAAAUAAAAUCUUUUUUUUUUCAUGAUUUAUAAAAUUAGAAUUUAAGUAUAAAACAGGGUCAUUGUAUGCAAUCUGCUAAGAGCAAUAAAGAGCUACAAAAA
This is a long non-coding RNA of Xenopus laevis (African clawed frog), 569 nucleotides long. RefSeq lists it as uncharacterized. The transcript has 2 exons. NCBI's taxonomy places the organism in Eukaryota, Metazoa, Chordata, Amphibia, Anura, Pipidae. The record is from RefSeq and is a predicted model, not a curated record.